AAACCUAAUCUUCUCGAACUCGUUCUCUCUCUCUCACACUCUCUCGAACCCUAGCCUCCAAUCCCUAAUUGAAGAUCAAGGCUUCCUGAACGCGAGGCACAGAUUAAAUUUCAUCUUUGUUUUCACGAUUUCCCUCAAAACAAAACCCAGAUCCUCUUCCCUGCCAUAAUUUUUCUUCGCCCUAGCUCUUCUUCGCCUUUGUUCGUCUUCAUCGUAGCUUCUGCCACCGCAGUUCCUCUUGUCGCCGCCAUAUCUCUUCCUCAACGAAGAUGAAAAUGAUGAUUACUAAAUUAUAAAUGAAGCAUAUGUGUGAUCCAUUCAGCAUCAGUUCCUUCAAUCUGAGCAAACAAAGAGUUCAGCGUAUGUAUACAUCUAACCCCAUCUUUCACAAAUGGACAGAACAUAUUGAGAUUGAUUGUCAAUGGAAUGAUGAGGGAUCCGGUGAUGAGGAGUGCUGCUAAUGGAAGGCAGAAUGGUUUCACUGAGGAUGAAUUGUCAGAUUCUGCGGCAAGCUCAGAAUUUUCUACCACACAAGUAGGAAAUAGUAUCAAUGGUUCUCUUCCAAAAAGUAAGGCUUAUAUGUUAGCAGGGGAUGCUUCUAUGUGCAAAGUUAUGCAGAAAAGCAUGACUUAUGUUGGAGCAGGAAUGAUCUGUUCUCAUCUUGUCAAUUUAUCAUUGUUUUUCGGUGUUGUGGUUUCAUGGGGCAUUAUGUGGCCAUUGAUCAGAGUACUUAAAGGAAGUUGGUUCUCUGAAAGUUUACCGGAGAGUAGCAUGAAGAGUCUUAAUGGUUAUAAGGUCUUUGAAUGAACACAAAUUGAAGGACACACUAUUAGAACUAACAUGAUUUCAGUUUUGAUUUUUUUCCAUUUUAAGCCUUAACUUUCCUUUAUUUUCAUGAUGCAGGUUUUUAUUUCCAUUGCAUUAAUCCUUGGUGAUGAACUCUACAAUUUUAUCAAAAUUAUAUAUUUUAGUGCCUUUUUAUCUUCUCUUUAUUUCUUGGUUUUGUUUCCCUUUUCUAUUAUGUUAAUGGUGUUUCCCUUGUUGAUGACUUUCUAUAUAUAAAGUCUUAGUGUAUGGAGAUUGUCCAUUUCUUGUUUCAUACCUUCCUGAUUCUUCAGCAUCAACCUCGGGAGUAGAUGGGAGCUUGUCGGUAUCUAGAUUUCCCGUUGAUCAUGAAAUCAAUUUGAGGAUUUAUUUGUAGAUGGAUUCUGUUGUAAAUUCAACCAAUGAGGUGUUCAAUGAUCCCACGACAUUAACAAAGGAGGAGCUGUAUGAUUUGCGAGACCGCUGGGCAACUUGUUUUCUUGACCUAUAUAAUCCUGAGGUAGAUUAUGAUGAUGCUGAUGAGAAAGAUUAGGAGCUAGCUAGCUAGGUUUGUGUGAAGUUACAAUGGAUUAGUAUUAAUUAUGAUGAUGUUUUUAUUUGUAUUUUGGAUGUUCAAUGGUUGUAUUUUAACGACAUUAUUACUAUAUGUUGAAUGUUGAAUUUUAGUAUUAUGUUCUUGAUGCAAGUUAUGUUA
Trifolium pratense (red clover) is the source of this 1519-nucleotide RNA transcript. RefSeq lists it as uncharacterized. The record is from RefSeq and is a predicted model, not a curated record. The transcript is spliced from 6 exons. Lineage: Eukaryota; Viridiplantae; Streptophyta; Magnoliopsida; Fabales; Fabaceae.